GCAAACUUGGUCAUUUAGAGGAAGUAAAAGUCGUAACAAGGUCUCCGUUGGUGAACCAGCGGAGGGAUCAUUACUGAGUUCUACAAAACUCCCAACCCUUUGUGAACCUUACCGUCGUUGCCUCGGCGCUGAGCAGCGGCUACUCGGGAACUACCCGGGAGGCUCUACCCUGUAGGGCCUACCUGGGAACUACCCUGUAGUUGCAUCUCCGCCGGUGGACCACACAACUCUGUUUAUACCCAUGUAUCUCUGAAAUAUACAACCAAAAUACGUUAAAACUUUCAACAACGGAUCUCUUGGUUCUGGCAUCGAUGAAGAACGCAGC
RNAcentral lists this unclassified non-coding RNA (325 nucleotides) under uncultured fungus. RNAcentral's name for it is "partial contains small subunit ribosomal RNA, internal transcribed spacer 1, and 5.8S ribosomal RNA". The stretch from base 1 to 73 matches the Rfam family "Eukaryotic small subunit ribosomal RNA", at positions 1759 to 1831 of the family's 1831-position model. The record is from RNAcentral. Lineage: Eukaryota; Fungi.